AAAACAUCUGGACCGUCGGUCUACCGAGCAAUAUCACCCGCUCGUUGGAGGUCUUCCUUUCGUCCU
Molecule: microRNA precursor, 66 nt
Filed under: Bombyx mori (domestic silkworm)
Lineage: Eukaryota; Metazoa; Arthropoda; Insecta; Lepidoptera; Bombycidae
Description: mir-2774 microRNA precursor family
Rfam family: mir-2774 microRNA precursor family
Source: Rfam by way of RNAcentral